RNAcentral lists this long non-coding RNA (340 nucleotides) under Helianthus annuus (common sunflower). Its description in RNAcentral is "hypothetical non coding rna". Lineage: Eukaryota; Viridiplantae; Streptophyta; Magnoliopsida; Asterales; Asteraceae. The record is from RNAcentral.
UUUUUUUUAUAAUUUUACAGAAUUUAUGUUUGAAUAGUACUCGCAAUGGGGAAUGAUGUGUUGUGAAUAACUUCGGGUGAAGUGGAAGGACAUGAAAUCGAUGAGAAGGCAAACCAUCCGAGAGACGACCAGUGUAUCAAUCGAUCGACUGAAAAAGUAUGGCCAUAUGUAGAGGUGAUGGGGUAGCCAAGACUAAGGUGUUAUGACCAUAAGAAAUCCCACACUCCACUCUAUUCUUUUAGUGACAUGGAUCUAGCAUCAAGGUUUUGGUAUGACUUGGGGUUUAUCUCUAAUAAUUAUAUUGAUGAAUUUGUUAUAUUUUAUUUUUAAUUGGUUCGGU